GUCUGAACACCAUGACUCCUGAAAAAAAAAAGCAACAACAACAACAACAAAAACCCUCACAGAAUUGCAUGAAAUGUCCUCUUUUUCCACACACUCCUUUUUCUGUUUUUCAUUGCCAGUCAUAGGGCAGUCAAUUUUUUCAAAUUUUGAUCCCUCCUUCAAAUUUUUACAAAAUCAACAUGUCCAUUUUUGACAUCUACUCCACCCCUAAAAGGCAGAGGAUGGCCAGGAGAGGGGUUUUUCUCCUCUCUUCAUUUUAAGAAAAAAAAAAGGAGUUGUGUUUUGGAGCAGCUCUCCUGAGUAGAUAUGUUGAUCCAGCCAUAUUUUCUUUACACACGCUUUUGGAAAGCAGGAACCCAGCCUGGGUUGAUCAGAAGCCACAGUUAAACAAUUAUCCAUUCUAUAGAAAGCUUCUUCCAUCCAGGGCCCCCAUAUGUUCCAUUACCUCAGGGAUGCAAAAUGAUACACCAGCUCUGCUGGUUAAGAGGGUUCCGAAAAUGACAUUAUAAUUCCUGACUGGAGGGCUCAGCAGAUUGUACGGGAUACAGUCUUUCAUCUCUGAGCCAUUUGUUCAAAGAGUUGAUAGUGCCUGAAAACUGUUCCCCUCCAACUGGGUGCUGCAUGGUCUCGGGGCAGUGUGGUGGGUGGUAUCCAUUUGAGAGAUCGACGGGUGUCUUUCUGGCAUUCUCACCAGAGACUGAAUGGGUAUUGAUGCUCAACUAAUUGAUCAUGUGGUGACUACUUGGCUGGUCACUGGGGGACACCAGCACUGCCAUUGGCCAUGUUGAGAGGCAUCUUAACCUAAUUAAUUGUAACCCUUAAAUUAUUCACACUACGAGACACCACCUGCAAUGGCCCAUGCACGGUGUGACAUCAUAUGAGCAAGGUCCUGUCCUGUGUGGAGACUGGGAAAGUGCUGGGCUGCCACUGGUGUAACAUGAGGUGAAUACAAUCCACAUACUUUCCUGUCAUGUCUCACACAAAUUUGACCACUGCUUGAGGUAGCCAAUGCAACUUCCAUUCACAUAGCCCUGCAUGGAUACAGGCCCAAAUCAAGUGGCAAUCGUGUCCACUUUCCCGAAUGCUGCACUUACCACCAUCUGUUCUGAGGGCAGGAUAUAGGUAGCAAACAAAAGAAGCCAUUUUGUAGAGUAAUCCUUGUCCAUAGUGACGGGUGGGUUAUAGUCUGGACAGGACUAGAGCCACAGAGGAGAAUAGAUUAUAGGUUCUGCCAUUUUCUUCAAGGCCCCGCUCGCUGUUCACAUUGUGAGGAAGGGGGCGGAGAGGAGCACUCACUGGUGAAAACAAAAGUGUGACUUGUGGACAUAAACAAUGUCCCUGAAAUAGUUGCUGGUGUGAAGAGAAUGGAGCUGGCUGAGCUGUGGCAAAAGCCAGCCGGGAGCUAUUUAAAGAGUUGUCAGGGACCCGGGUUGCAAUAGGACAGUACCUGUAAGAAAUGUUAAGUUACUUUCACCGCUGAUCCCAACAGAUAACAUUGUUAUCAAAGGAGUUGCCACUCGCAUCAGCAUUCUCAGGGACCCGAUUUGCCUUUUUUGCUGCAGCUUAUGAAGCCUCUCCCGAUCUCUGAAGGCCUGAUGGAAGGAGGUCUGUCUAGACAAGCGGCAGUUCCAGAAAGGCAGCUUACCGUGCAUUUGGCAGAUCGAUAUCACAGAACCAUCCACUGCCAGGGCUGCAUUGCCACCCGUUAUUUUUGCCUGCUGGGGGUCUGCCCAACGAGGGCCAGGACACAGCUUUCCGAGGCAAUGCAGGAGAGCCUGGCAAACGACGACUGGAUUAGCAGCAGAUGAAUGGUUGCCAACCGCCCAGGACAGCUUUUGGCACCUUACAAAGCAAAAAAACAAAACUGAUCCGUAGCCACCAGUCAUGGGACAAAAGGAAAAAACGAGUCUGCUUUGGAAUCUGUUUGCCUGAGGGCUCCCUCUGGACCUGCUUUUGCCCACCACCGGAUAUAUGAAGUGUCCUGCAGCAGCUGCCACUGCACAUCAUAGGACUUCACUGGAGGAUACAAAUAGAGCGAGCGGAGAAAUUGCCGUCGAUUUGCAUUGAUCAUUAAUUUUUAAAAAACCUCUCGACAAGCUGCCUUCUUUUUCGGUGAAAUGAAAUAUGCCCCAUGUUCAAAAGACACAACAGGACUUCUGCUCAACAUGUGUCCUACGUUACCAGACCCUCUGAUGGUUUUAGAAAGCGCCUAUAUUUUUUCGGGGGAAAUACGUAAUGUACUCGCGCAAUUAAAUGAGGUUUCGUUGUGUAACCGCUCACUGCAGAUCCUAAUUUUCAACGACAUCUUUUAAUGUGUUGUUUUGCCAUCGUUCUUUCCUAUCCGUAUAAAGCUAGUUUUAUCUGUAUCUAUGGAACUUUAAAAUAUGUUUGCGAUUACAAAACGGGCAUGCCUCUAGACAUACGUGUUG
This is a non-coding RNA of Pelodiscus sinensis (Chinese soft-shelled turtle), 2429 nucleotides long. NCBI's taxonomy places the organism in Eukaryota, Metazoa, Chordata, Testudines, Trionychidae. The record is from RefSeq and is a predicted model, not a curated record.